Long non-coding RNA from Onychostoma macrolepis, 1191 nucleotides. RefSeq lists it as uncharacterized. NCBI's taxonomy places the organism in Eukaryota, Metazoa, Chordata, Actinopteri, Cypriniformes, Cyprinidae. The transcript has 5 exons. The record is from RefSeq and is a predicted model, not a curated record.
UUUCUUUUGUAUAUGUACAAAAGAAAGGGGGAAAAAAUGGACUCUUUGUGUUAGUGAUGGAUAGUAGAUGUUGUUUUCGUGUGUAUGUGUUGCAGGCCUGAUGGAUGCAGAAGGCUGUAGAUUAGCUCUGAUCUCUUUAACACCUGUGGAGGCGAUUCUCAUUUUCAUACAACACCUGAGACUCGAGCGCACACCUGCAAUCUGGACAGAGUGAUUGUUAAGCGCACCCACACACAUUCUAAUGAACAGAUCAAAGCGAGUUCUGAACCCUGAACCCCGCUGACUCAUUUUCUGGCGUCUUGCGGAAAACAGCCGUCCUCGCUCCGAACGAGCAGCGGCACGCUCUUCAUCUCUUAAAUGUCACCCAGCGCACAGGCUAAUUCAGUCACACCUCUCCCAAACACAGAAACAAACUAGGCCUCAUCUGGAGAAACAGACAGACAGACAGAGUGUGUGUGUGAGAGAGAGAGAGCGAGAGAGAUCUCAAACCUGAUUAAAAUUAUACUCCGCCAACACAAGUCUGGGUAAACAUGGUGAUUUGCGCAGAGAGUGAUAGGCUGUCUUUAGUAAUUGUGCGCUUUGCUUUGAUGUUCAGAGUCGGUUUUAUUAUCUCCUCUGCCGUGGCAUAAAGGAAGAUGACAGGAAGUAAAAAGGAGUGUUUUAUCAAACAUUAACAAAGGCGUCUGCCAUCACAAAAAGGUCAACUCACAAUAAAUAAAGUGUGGCCUGUCCAUUUUGUUGAUUUUAUACACUACUGUCCAAACGUUUGAGCUCUCCACUCACACACUCUCCAUCAACACUGCGUUGGAGUCGCCAGAAACAGCAAGGACUGCUGAGGCUGCACGCCGUCUGUCGAGUCAUUUACAGAAGGAGCGAGAGUGCACUGCUUUUCAUCAUUCUGCUGGGAAACAAAGGCGUUUCCAAGGUACCAGUUUGCAGCAAUGAACAUUUCCAUGGAAGAACAGGAUACUACAUUCACCAAAAUGUUCAAGCUUCGGUGAUGGUUGGGAGCCGCAGUGGUGCAUAAGCACAGACACACACACAUGAACAGUGGGGAAGGCUGGGAGGUGUGCGGGUUUUGCCCUGCAUUAACACAAAACUAAAUUAAUGAAUAGCAGGAUUUUUCACCCUCGAUGGCCUUCUCUACAUACUAAUUAUUUAGGCCUCAUCCUGAGAGCCUCGGCGCGCCUG